RNAcentral lists this ribosomal RNA (426 nucleotides) under uncultured bacterium. RNAcentral describes it as "partial 16S ribosomal RNA". It matches the Rfam family "Bacterial small subunit ribosomal RNA", at positions 354 to 796 of the family's 1533-position model. The record is from RNAcentral.
GUGAGGAAUUUUCCGCAAUGGGCGAAAGCCUGACGGAGCAAUGCCGCGUGAAGGAUGAAGGCCUAUGGGUUGUAAACUUCUUUUCUCAGAAAAGAAUUAUGACGGUAUCUGAGGAAUAAGCAUCGGCUAACUCUGUGCCAGCAGCCGCGGUAAGACAGAGGAUGCAAGCGUUAUCCGGAAUGAUUGGGCGUAAAGCGUCUGUAGGUUGUUUAAAAAGUAUUCUGUCAAAGAUUAGGGCUUAACCCUAGAUAGGCAGAAUAAACUUUUAAGCUAGAGUUUGGUAGAGGCAGAGGGUAUUCCCGGUGGAGCGGUGAAAUGCGUAGAUAUCGGGAGGAACACCAAAGGCGAAGGCACUCUGCUGGGCCAAUACUAACACUGAGAGACGAAAGCGAGGGGAGCAAAUGGGAUUAGAUACCCUUGUAGUCC